GGUCUCGAGGUGUAAUAGCAUGUGUGGUUGCAAACCAUGAGGAGCAGGGUGAUGUCUGCCGAGGCUU
Molecule: transfer RNA, 67 nt
Filed under: Indirana semipalmata
Lineage: Eukaryota; Metazoa; Chordata; Amphibia; Anura; Ranixalidae
Description: tRNA-Cys
Source: RNAcentral